UGCGUAGGCGGAAGAUUAAGUCAGUGAUGAAAUCCUGCAGCUCAACUGUAGAACUGUCAUUGAUACUGAUUUUCUUGAAUACAGUUGAGGUAGGCGGAAUAUGUAAUGUAGCGGUGAAAUGCUUAGAUAUUACAUAGAACACCGAUUGCGAAGGCAGCUUACUAAGCUAUGAUUGACGCUGAGGUACGAAAGCGUGGGGAGCGAACAGGAUUAGAUACCCUGGUAGUCC
RNAcentral lists this ribosomal RNA (229 nucleotides) under uncultured bacterium. RNAcentral describes it as "partial 16S ribosomal RNA". It matches the Rfam family "Bacterial small subunit ribosomal RNA", at positions 568 to 796 of the family's 1533-position model. The record is from RNAcentral.